AGGGUGACCCGGCUGUGACAUCUGUCACCCCACUGAUUUCCAGGGUUGAUCUGAUUGGCCUGACUAGCCAGAUGAGUGUUCCCUUCUUCCCU
This is an unclassified non-coding RNA of Fukomys damarensis (Damara mole-rat), 92 nucleotides long. Its record names the gene 7SK. It matches the Rfam family "7SK RNA". Rfam says of the family: 7SK was discovered as an abundant small nuclear RNA in the mid-70s but a possible function has only recently been suggested. Two independent studies have found that 7SK RNA binds the CDK9/cyclin T complex (known as elongation factor P-TEFb). Lineage: Eukaryota; Metazoa; Chordata; Mammalia; Rodentia; Bathyergidae. The record is from Ensembl.